Molecule: small RNA, 333 nt
Filed under: Arabidopsis thaliana (thale cress)
Lineage: Eukaryota; Viridiplantae; Streptophyta; Magnoliopsida; Brassicales; Brassicaceae
Description: ATSL257200
Source: RNAcentral
AAAUUUUUUUGGCAGAACAGUUAUUAAGAUAUCAAGCCAUUGGUUUAUAAAGAAAUGGUGGUAAUCCUAUCCUACUAUAUUAUUUGAGAAGUACAUUUUAAAUAUAACCUUAAUUUUUGUAAGUAAUUACAUAUGUAUGCCAUUAGAAAUAAAAUUUUAAAGAGUAAAUUAAUUUAUCUCUUUAAGGAUUAAAAAGUCAAAUACUAAUUUAAUUAAUUAAAUUUAAUUAAAAAACAAAAUACAUUAUUAAUUUUCAAAAAUAAUAACCAAUCAAAAUCAACAAAUAAGAUUUGAUAUCUAAAUUUUAAUUAAUUAAAUUUAAUUAAAAAAACA